CAGAUAUUCUAAUAACUCCUACAAAACUGAAACACUCUGAGAUUUUAUUAAAGCCCCAAUUAAACAAGGGUCACUAAAGGAGAGAUGCAAGACUGAUACCCCUGUAGCACAGCAUUCUGCGAAUCAAGUACUUUUCCUCUCUUCUUGAAGAAAAAUGUCUGGUAGAACAGGUUGGCCAUCUUUACAAAUGUGCCUUGGACCAGCCGUGGGUGUCUGAAAUGGAUCAUACUCAAUAACGUAACAGUGGUGACAUUAUUGUUAGUUGUAAUAUUAAUAUUAAUAAAAAUGUCAACUAUAGUCCUCUAUUGUGAGGGCUGAAUAGG
This is a long non-coding RNA of Canis lupus familiaris (dog), 323 nucleotides long. RefSeq lists it as uncharacterized. The record is from RefSeq and is a predicted model, not a curated record. The transcript has 2 exons. Lineage: Eukaryota; Metazoa; Chordata; Mammalia; Carnivora; Canidae.